GGAGAACGCUAGCUACAGGCUUAACACAUGCAAGUCGAGGGGCAGCAUUUUAGUUUGCUUGCAAACUGAAGAAGGCGACCGGCGCACGGGUGAGUAACACGUAUCCAACCUGCCGAUAACUCCGGGAUAGCCUUUCGAAAGAAAGAUUAAUACCGGAUAGUAUACGAAUAUCGCAUGAUAUUUUUAUUAAAGAAUUUCGGUUAUCGAUGGGGAUGCGUUCCAUUAGUUUGUUGGCGGGGUAACGGCCCACCAAGACUACGAUGGAUAGGGGUUCUGAGAGGAAGGUCCCCCACAUUGGAACUGAGACACGGUCCAAACUCCUACGGGAGGCAGCAGUGAGGAAUAUUGGUCAAUGGGCGCGAGCCUGAACCAGCCAAGUAGCGUGAAGGAUGAAGGCUCUAUGGGUCGUAAACUUCUUUUAUAUGGGAAUAAAGUUUUCCACGUGUGGAAUUUUGUAUGUACCAUAUGAAUAAGGAUCGGCUAACUCCGUGCCAGCAGCCGCGGUAAUACGGAGGAUCCGAGCGUUAUCCGGAUUUAUUGGGUUUAAAGGGAGCGUAGGUGGAUUGUUAAGUCAGUUGUGAAAGUUUGCGGCUCAACCGUAAAAUUGCAGUUGAAACUGGCAGUCUUGAGUACAGUAGAGGUGGGCGGAAUUCGUGGUGUAGCGGUGAAAUGCUUAGAUAUCACGAAGAACUCCGAUUGCGAAGGCAGCUCACUAGACUGUCACUGACACUGAUGCUCGAAAGUGUGGGUAUCAAACAGGAUUAGAUACCCUGGUAGUCCACACAGUAAACGAUGAAUACUCGCUGUUUGCGAUAUACAGUAAGCGGCCAAGCGAAAGCAUUAAGUAUUCCACCUGGGGAGUACGCCGGCAACGGUGAAACUCAAAGGAAUUGACGGGGGCCCGCACAAGCGGAGGAACAUGUGGUUUAAUUCGAUGAUACGCGAGGAACCUUACCCGGGCUUAAAUUGCAACAGAAUAUAUUGGAAACAGUAUAGCCGUAAGGCUGUUGUGAAGGUGCUGCAUGGUUGUCGUCAGCUCGUGCCGUGAGGUGUCGGCUUAAGUGCCAUAACGAGCGCAACCCUUAUCUUUAGUUACUAACAGGUUAUGCUGAGGACUCUAGAGAGACUGCCGUCGUAAGAUGUGAGGAAGGUGGGGAUGACGUCAAAUCAGCACGGCCCUUACGUCCGGGGCUACACACGUGUUACAAUGGGGGGUACAGAAGGCGGCUACCUGGUGACAGGAUGCUAAUCCCAAAAACCUCUCUCAGUUCGGAUCGAAGUCUGCAACCCGACUUCGUGAAGCUGGAUUCGCUAGUAAUCGCGCAUCAGCCAUGGCGCGGUGAAUACGUUCCCGGGCCU
This 1359-nucleotide ribosomal RNA is filed under the name uncultured bacterium. Its description in RNAcentral is "bacterial SSU rRNA". It matches the Rfam family "Bacterial small subunit ribosomal RNA", at positions 28 to 1381 of the family's 1533-position model. The record is from RNAcentral.